GGGUUGGGGUGAAGGUGAGAGAAGGGAUGACAGCGCAUGAAAGACCUGGUUCAGCUGCAGGAGAAGAACGUACAAGUAUUUCUUCCCUAAAGGAGACCUUAAUAUACUGCUCAUGGAAGAAGCUGGCAAAAAAUUGAUUGGCGAAUAUGACUUCUGCAACUUCUGCAAAUUCAGUGUUAAAGAUGGC
Long non-coding RNA from Mya arenaria, 187 nucleotides. RefSeq lists it as uncharacterized. The transcript has 3 exons. The record is from RefSeq and is a predicted model, not a curated record. Lineage: Eukaryota; Metazoa; Mollusca; Bivalvia; Myida; Myidae.